UGAGGUAGGGGGCAAGAAAUAACAAUACAGGGCUAAUGUCUUGUAAUUGGAAUGAUGGCGACUUAAACCCUCGCCAGAGUAACAAUUGGAGGGCAAGUCUGGUGCCAGCAGCCGCGGUAAUUCCAGCUCCAAUAGCGUAUAUUAAACUUGUUGCAGUUAAAAAGCUCGUAGUUGAAUUUCUGCGUUGCGUUGUUCUUGCUUUUUGCUUGAUUUUCGCUUCGCUUUUUGUUUUUACUUUGAGAAAAUUAGAGUGUUUAUCGCAGACUUUUGUCUUGAAUACUUCAGCAUGGAAUAACAUAGUAGGACCUUGGUUCUAUUUUGUUGGUUUGGGACCUUGGUAAUGGUUAAUAGGAACGGUUGGGGGCAUUCGUAUUUAACUGUCAGAGGUGAAAUUCUUAGAUUUGUUAAAGACGAACUACUGCGAAAUCAUGAAAGGAACUAGAGCAAGUCUUCAUAC
RNAcentral lists this ribosomal RNA (457 nucleotides) under Babesia sp. RNAcentral describes it as "SSU rRNA". It matches the Rfam family "Eukaryotic small subunit ribosomal RNA", at positions 460 to 977 of the family's 1831-position model. The record is from RNAcentral. Lineage: Eukaryota; Apicomplexa; Aconoidasida; Piroplasmida; Babesiidae.